AGGCCAUUGAUGAGCCUCCCUAUCUCACAGUGGGCACCGAUGUGAGUGCGAAGUAUAGAGGAGCCUUCUGUGAAGCCAAGAUCAAGACAGCAAAAAGACUUGUCAAAGUCAAGGUAACUUUUAGACAUGAUUCUUCAACAAUGGAAGUGCAGGAUGACCACAUAAAGGGUCCCUUAAAGGUAGGAACUGUUGUGGAAGUGAAGAAUCCGGAUGGAACUUACCAGGAAGCAGUUAUCAACAAAUUAACAGAUGCAAGUUGGUACACUGUAGUAUUUGAUGACGGCGACGAGAAGACUCUUAGACGCUCUU
This is a non-coding RNA of Pelecanus crispus (Dalmatian pelican), 309 nucleotides long. Lineage: Eukaryota; Metazoa; Chordata; Aves; Pelecaniformes; Pelecanidae. The record is from RefSeq and is a predicted model, not a curated record.